RNA transcript from Musa acuminata AAA Group (dessert banana), 2931 nucleotides. It is a transcript of the gene named RAP domain-containing protein, chloroplastic-like, with no coding region annotated. NCBI's taxonomy places the organism in Eukaryota, Viridiplantae, Streptophyta, Magnoliopsida, Zingiberales, Musaceae. The transcript is spliced from 4 exons. The record is from RefSeq and is a predicted model, not a curated record.
UAAACCACUGUGCUUCCGAAGAUUCCAUCUCGUCGAGGGCGUUGAAGCUUUCAAGCUUCUGCCUUUUAAGGUCACAAUGGAAGCUUGUGUCGGCGCUCUCCUGCCAAGAAGAUGCCUCCCUCCGCUUCAUUUUCCUGCAAAAGACAUGCAGACAUGUCCAGCGAUGAAGACUAUACCACAGUUCCAUCACUUCAACUGCAAGGUUGGGUCUUUGAGUAGAAAGCUCGGUUCUUGCAGAUUAGGAAGUGAUUUGGUGGAUAAGAAGGGAGUAGAGGACCAAAAGGAGCUCGCUUCCUCGUGGGAAUUGGAGUUCUUGGGAGAGGUUCCUCCAUCUCAGUCGGACAUCCCCAAGAAUAAGAAGCCUAGGGAAAAAUCGAGGCUGCUCGAAGAGACUGAGAGCAUGGAUUGGUGUGUGAAUGCAAGGAAGGUCGCGCUAAGAGCAAUCGAAGCCAGGGGACUGAGAGGUUCCGUGGAGAAAAUGGUGACAUCAAAGAAGAAAAAUAAGAAGAAAAAGCUUAAGGCGAGCAAGAAAGAAAAUAUUACGAAGAGAAAAAACAUGGAAGAUUUAGAGGGUGAUGAUGUUGAUGGUGUUUCUGAAGAAAUUGAUUUGGAUGAAAUGAACUGGGAAAGUGGUGGGACAAGUGAUCUUAAAAAGAGAAUCAAUUUGUUUGCAGAUGGGAUGUUCGAGGAAAGGAGGCUGAAGGCCAGGGAGGAAUUCAUCGAGAAAUUGUCACAGUUCUCGGGACCCUCAGAUAGGAAGAAAGAGAUUUCUUUGAACAAAGCGAUCGUGGAUGCUCAGACUGCAGAUGAGGUCUUGGAAGUAGCUGCUGAGACUAUUUUAGCUGUAGCUAAAGGAUUGAAACCUUCACCACUUACUCCGCUAAAUAUAGCUACAGCUCUCCACCGGAUAGCCAAGAACAUGGAAAAGGUUUCCAUGACGAGGACUCAAAGGUUGGCAUUUUCUCGUCAAAGAGAGAUGUCUAUGCUUGUAGGUAUCGCAAUGGUUGCAUUACCAGAGUGCUCUGCUCAGGGCAUCUCAAACAUUGCCUGGGCAUUGUCAAAGGUUGGUGGUGAGCUGCUUUAUUUGUCAGAGAUGGAUAGAAUUGCUGAGGUGGCACUGACCAAGGUUGAGGAGUUCAAUUCACAGAAUGUUGCGAAUAUUGCUGGAGCAUUUGCUUCGAUGCAACACUCUGCACCAGACCUGUUCUGUGAAUUAGCUAAAAGAGCAUCAGAAAUAGUUCACACGUUCAGGGAGCAAGAGCUUGCUCAACUCUUGUGGUCAUUUGCAUCUCUAAACGAGCUUGCUGAUCCUUUGCUUAAUUCACUUGAUCAUUCUUUUGAGGAUUCAGUAAGCCUUGGAUGCUACAUGAAUGCAGAAAACUUAAGUCAGCUUGAAAGUUCACAUGCCGAGGUUGAGAAUGAUGAAAAUUUUGAAAGCACAGAAAGCAGCAUUCUGGAUGUAUCUUUCAAUGGCCUUAGGUUCAGAUUUAACAGAGAUCAACUUGGUAAUAUAGCUUGGUCCUAUGCUGUGCUUGGACAAAUGAAUCGUCCAUUCUUCUCCCAUAUUUGGACUACUCUCAGCAAGUUUGAAGAGGAAAGGAUUUCGGAGCAGCAUAGGGAAGAUAUCAUGUUUGCUUCACAAGUUCAUCUGGUGAACCAGUGCUUGAAGCUUCAAUGUCCUCAUCUUGGCCUAUCUCUUAGGAGUGAUCUAGAGGAGAAGAUAUCACAAGCAGUGAAGACUAAGCGGUUCAAUCAGAAAACAACUUCUUCAUUCCAAAAGGAGGUGGCACGGCUUUUGGUUAGUACAGGCCUUGAUUGGGUCAAAGAAUACAUGGUUGAUGGAUAUACACUAGAUGCGGUGCUUGUUGAAGAAAAGCUUGCUUUUGAGAUCGAUGGACCAACACAUUUCUCGAGAAAUUUAGGUACUCCUUUAGGACACACAAUACUGAAACGACAAUAUAUUGCUGAUGCUGGUUGGAAUCUAGUUUCUCUUUCCCUUCAAGAGUGGGAGGAACUUCAAGGGGGCUUUGAGCAACUAGAGUACCUAAGGAGAAUUCUUGGUAUCGACACAGUUAAUGAGUUAGAAGAAACAACUGAGGUGCUCAAAUGAAAGCACAACCUAUUGCUGAUGAUACAUUGAUGCUGGCAGUGAUGGUUGCUGAAGGCUUCAAAUUUGUAUCUAAAUUGAAUGAUAUCCUUUCUCAAUCUCUAAGUGGGUGGUUUAGCCAGAAAUGCUGGCUCAUGUCAUCCAAAAAAUGCCCAUAAAACUGGUGGAAAUGAUGAGUUCAAUGGAUCUGCUAGUUUGGGUUUUGAACCUCCUGGAUGGUUUGUUGCAUUUGAUAUCAUAUUAGCAUAGCAAGAUGUCAUGUGAGGUUGGUUGAUAUUGCUGCUAUUCCAUUACUAUGACAAGCCAUGACAACGUAUGUGUAACCAAAUCUUUAAUGUUGGACAAAUUGGACUCCUCAGAUUUCCAACAUACCAAUCUGUAGAGCUGACAAAUGCUUAGCACACAGCAAACCUAAGUGGAGUUUGCCAGUGAAUAGUUGCUGCUUGGACUUUUGGUCCAGAUUCAUCUCAUGGACAGACUUGGGGACCAUAUUGUUGUAUCAUCCACAUUGAUUGUACUGUGUUCUGUAAUUGUCUCGCACAAAUCCGGCUUGUUGGCCUCUGAUUCAUGAAGGGUGAUUGGCAUCUGAAAACAAUUGACUUCCUUUCUGAUACAUGAGUUCAUGAACCUAAUCGGACCAAAAUUGCUUUCAUUAAUGAACUUAUUGAUUACAUUGCAGAGGAUGCUAUCCUUAUUUUGAGACACCUUUCUGUUAAGAUGCUGAUGGAUCAACAUAAGAUGUUUGAUUAAAUUUGCACAGGAUCUAUCACCAUCUUUCUGUUCAAAAGAAAAAGAAGACUAUAAUGAAGUUUGACUUUGAUGUA